Long non-coding RNA from Eublepharis macularius, 412 nucleotides. RefSeq lists it as uncharacterized. NCBI's taxonomy places the organism in Eukaryota, Metazoa, Chordata, Lepidosauria, Squamata, Eublepharidae. The record is from RefSeq and is a predicted model, not a curated record. The transcript is spliced from 3 exons.
UCGUCUAUUCUCAAUGUCCCUUUUGUUCUCACACUAUUCUCACGAUGUUCCAGCUAGUUCUUCCUCCUUCCUCCCCUUUCCCACCGCCAUUAUUUCUUGCAAAGCCACAGAAGCAGUUCCUUCUCCUUACAAGUUUGUGGAAUAUGGAAUUGUAAAUUAGAAGCAAAACAGAGGCAGAUAAUGCCCCCAUCCAUUCAUUUAGCUGCAAAAGAGAACAACUAAAACAGAGCAAGAAGCAGCCUGUUCCAUACCUACAGUGAAGAUGACAAAGUUAUUUAUCUCAUUCAAAUCAAGAACUACAAGAUGGAUUGCUAGUAUUAUCUAUGAACAAAUGACACACAUGUGCCGCAAAGUAUCUUCAUACAGUCAAACUGCAUCCACAAGACACUAAUGGUUCAAGUAGUAAGAAAUA